GAUGAACGCUGGCGGCGUGCCUAAUACAUGCAAGUCGAGCGAACAGACGAGGAGCUUGCUCCUCUGACGUUAGCGGCGGACGGGUGAGUAACACGUGGAUAACCUACCUAUAAGACUGGGAUAACUUCGGGAAACCGGAGCUAAUACCGGAUAAUAUAUUUAACCGCAUGGUUCAAUAGUGAAAGACGGUUUUGCUGUCACUUAUAGAUGGAUCCGCGCCGCAUUAGCUAGUUGGUAAGGUAACGGCUUACCAAGGCGACGAUGCGUAGCCGACCUGAGAGGGUGAUCGGCCACACGGGAACUGAGACACGGUCCAGACUCCUACGGGAGGCAGCAGUAGGGAAUCUUCCGCAAUGGGCGAAAGCCUGACGGAGCAACGCCGCGUGAGUGAUGAAGGUCUUCGGAUCGUAAAACUCUGUUAUUAGGGAAGAACAAAUGUGUAAGUAACUAUGCACGUCUUGACGGUACCUAAUCAGAAAGCCACGGCUAACUACGUG
Molecule: ribosomal RNA, 497 nt
Filed under: uncultured bacterium
Lineage: Bacteria
Description: partial 16S ribosomal RNA
Rfam family: Bacterial small subunit ribosomal RNA
Source: RNAcentral